Molecule: ribosomal RNA, 440 nt
Filed under: uncultured bacterium
Lineage: Bacteria
Description: partial 16S ribosomal RNA
Rfam family: Bacterial small subunit ribosomal RNA
Source: RNAcentral
CCUACGGGAGGCUGCAGUGGGGAAUAUUGCACAAUGGGGGAAACCCUGAUGCAGCGACGCCGCGUGAGUGAAGAAGUAUUUCGGUAUGUAAAGCUCUAUCAGCAGGGAAGAAGAUGACGGUACCUGAGUAAGAAGCCCCGGCUAACUACGUGCCAGCAGCCGCGGUAAUACGGAGGGGGCAAGCGUUAUCCGGAUUUACUGGGUGUAAAGGGAGCGCAGACGGUGGUACAAGUCUGGAGUGAAAGCCCGGGGCUCAACCCCGGGACGGCUUUGGAAACUGGCUGACUGGAGUGGUGGAGAGGAAAGCGGAAUGCGUGGUGUAGCGGUGAAAUGCGUAGAUAUGAGGAAGAACACCAGUGGCGAAGGCGGCUUGCUGGAUAGAAACUGACGUUGAGGCUCGAAAGCGUGGGGAGCAAACAGGAUUAGAUACCCCUGUAGUC